This 262-nucleotide ribosomal RNA is filed under the name uncultured bacterium. Its description in RNAcentral is "partial 16S ribosomal RNA". It matches the Rfam family "Bacterial small subunit ribosomal RNA", at positions 793 to 1055 of the family's 1533-position model. The record is from RNAcentral.
GUCCACGCCGUAAACGAUGUCUACUCGGAGUUUGGUGUCUUGAACACUGGGCUCUCAAGCUAACGCAUUAAGUAGACCGCCUGGGGAGUACGGCCGCAAGGUUAAACUCAAAUGAAUUGACGGGGGCCCGCACAAGCGGUGGAGCAUGUGGUUUAAUUCGAUGCAACGCGAAGAACCUUACCUACUCUUGACAUCCACGGAAUUCGCUAGAGAUAGCUUAGUGCCUUCGGGAACCGUGAGACAGGUGCUGCAUGGCUGUCGU